CCCUUAGAUGUUCUGGGCCGCACGCGUGCUACACUGACCGGCGCAACAAGUUUCUUUCCUUGGCUCGAUAGGCCUGGGUAAUCUUUGAACGCCGGUCGUGAUGGGGAUAGAUCCUUGCAAUUUUUGAUCUUCAACGAGGAAUUCCUAGUAAAUGCGAGUCAUCAUCUCACGUUGAUUACGUCCCUGCCCUUUGUACACACCGCCCGUCGCACCUACCGAUUGAAUGGUCCGGUGAAGCCUCGGGAUUGCGAAUGCUUCGUGCGGACGCGAGAACUUGGCUAAACCUUACCAUUUAGAGGAAGGUGAAGUCGUAACA
RNAcentral lists this ribosomal RNA (316 nucleotides) under uncultured eukaryote. RNAcentral describes it as "partial 18S ribosomal RNA". It matches the Rfam family "Eukaryotic small subunit ribosomal RNA", at positions 1470 to 1796 of the family's 1831-position model. The record is from RNAcentral.